This 439-nucleotide long non-coding RNA is filed under the name Gossypium barbadense (sea-island cotton). Its description in RNAcentral is "long non-coding RNA (GBAR_LNC023536)". Lineage: Eukaryota; Viridiplantae; Streptophyta; Magnoliopsida; Malvales; Malvaceae. The record is from RNAcentral.
CGGUUGAGCUGGAGCUGUGGUUGGAGGAGUUUGAGGUGGUUGAGGUGGUGGAGUUUGUGGCGGUGGGACGGUUUGGCUUGUAGCUGGUGCAACAGUGGGAGGGGGAGUUGUUGCAGGUGGUUGAGCUGGCGCGAUGGGCGUGGUGGAAGGUGGAGGCGUUGCUGUUGAAGGAGGUGGUGCUGAAGUUGUAGGUGGAGGGGUUGUUGAAGGAGGUGGUGCGGAAGUUGUAGGUGGUGGCGAAGUUGAAGGUGGAGUGGUGGUGGUGGUGGUUGGCGUACUGGAAGGUGAGGCAGCUGGUGUUUGUGCACUCGUAAUGGCUAGUUGAAGGGUGAGAGUAGUUACAAUGAGAGCCCAAAACAUGAAAGCCAUUUUGUUAGAGAUGGGGAAUAGCAUUUGCAAGCAACAAUAUAUAAACACUAAACAACCAGCAAUUCUCAAA